RNAcentral lists this long non-coding RNA (1052 nucleotides) under Oryzias sinensis (Chinese medaka). Its description in RNAcentral is "lncRNA (ENSOSIG00000013504.1)". The record is from RNAcentral. Lineage: Eukaryota; Metazoa; Chordata; Actinopteri; Beloniformes; Adrianichthyidae.
CAAAACUGUGUGUUAAAAAAUAACUCAUCACUAAACCUGCUGAACAAGUGUAAGUUUGAGAAUGUAUUUAAGGAGGCUGAACUAAGGCUCCUGCGCUCAGAUGUGAGAAAAGUGCAAAGAAACAUUCCAGCCAUCCCAAUGAACCUCUUCAUAAAUCAGAAAACAAAAGGAUGACUUUAACAAAGGCAGCAUGUUUUGCUGUGGUUCUUCUGUUUUUAUGCUACCAACUACAGAAUCAGGACUACUGGCAGUCUGUAACUUCCUUCUUUGAGGACCAGUUGAAUUCAAACAAAGAGCGCCAUAAUGAAAGAGCAAGAAGAGAAGCCUCUGUAAAAGCCACAGAGUUUACAUUUGAAAUGACUAUAGGCUACUCUGACAUGAACACACUCCAAGAGUUCCUAAAAAGUCUCAACCUAAGUUUAGUUAACAGUUCAAGUGAAAUAAUCAGCAGUGAAACAACAACAGAGUGUACAUCUGACCUGACUCAGUACCAGUGCUCAUGUCAGGAAAACUAUGCCUGGUCCAAUAACACGUGUAUGACCUAUGGAGCCUGUAAUGGAUCCUACACAGGAGACACAUGUGGAUGCAUUAAAGGUCGCCCCAAAUAUAAUGAAUCCUGCCAGCUAAAGUUCAGUUCAACAGGUAGGCCAAGAGGCUUUCACAGAGCACAUAUAUGAGUGCAUAUGUUACAUACAUUUUUAUUUCUACAGGUAAAUGUAUACCUCUAACUGUAGUAAUAGUUUUAAUAGUAGUAUCAACAGUCAUAGGCAGAAGUCAGGGUUUUGUCACAACUGCCCUCAUAGCUAGAUACAGGCAGGCAACAACACUCUGCAGGCCAAAAAUCGACAAACCUGUAAUGUUAAAACCAGCUUCAUCAAUUAGCAGGCAAAGUUUGGAAAUUUCAGAAAAAUGACAAAGUACUGUCUGACCACUGCCACACAAAAUCGUCAGUAACUCCAUUGAAAAAUAUUGUCAUGCAUAAAGCACCAAUGUACUCUUUCUAAACAAACUGAGUUUUUCCAUUUCACUGCCAACAGCACCAACAACAACGA